Sphagnurus paluster is the source of this 94-nucleotide non-coding RNA. The record is from the annotation of a GenBank genome assembly. NCBI's taxonomy places the organism in Eukaryota, Fungi, Basidiomycota, Agaricomycetes, Agaricales, Lyophyllaceae.
GGGCACAUGGUGUAGUUGGUUAUCACGCCCGCUUAGCAUCAGAUCACACUGACCAACUUGCGGGCGGUCCCCGGUUCAAUUCCGGGUGUGUCCA